This 274-nucleotide ribosomal RNA is filed under the name Theileria sp. Its description in RNAcentral is "partial small subunit ribosomal RNA". Lineage: Eukaryota; Apicomplexa; Aconoidasida; Piroplasmida; Theileriidae. The record is from RNAcentral.
UUAAACCUCUUCCAGAGUAUCAAUUGGAGGGCAAGUCUGGUGCCAGCAGCCGCGGUAAUUCCAGCUCCAAUAGCGUAUAUUAAAAUUGUUGCAGUUAAAAAGCUCGUAGUUGAAUUUYUGSUGCAUUACUUUUGCUCCUUGACGAGUGUCUGUAUUGCGGCUUAUUUCGGAUUAUGCUUGCAUUUUCCGGAUGUUUACUUUGAGAAAAUUAGAGUGCUCAAAGCAGGCUUUUGCCUUGAAUAGUUUAGCAUGGAAUAAUAAAGUAGGACUUUGG